CGGGAUGUGGCUCAGUUUGGUAGAGCGCUGCGUUCGGGACGCAGAGAUCGGAGGUUCAAAUCCUCUCAUCCCGACCA
RNAcentral lists this transfer RNA (77 nucleotides) under Pseudodesulfovibrio senegalensis. RNAcentral describes it as "Desulfovibrio senegalensis tRNA-Pro". It matches the Rfam family "tRNA". Rfam says of the family: Transfer RNA (tRNA) molecules are approximately 80 nucleotides in length. Their secondary structure includes four short double-helical elements and three loops (D, anti-codon, and T loops). Lineage: Bacteria; Pseudomonadati; Thermodesulfobacteriota; Desulfovibrionia; Desulfovibrionales; Desulfovibrionaceae. The record is from RNAcentral.